GGAGAGAUGGAUGAGUGGUUUAAGUCGCACGCCUGGAAAGCGUGUGUAGGAGCAAUCCUACCGCGGGUUCGAAUCCCGCUCUCUCCG
This 87-nucleotide transfer RNA is filed under the name Candidatus Accumulibacter aalborgensis. It matches the Rfam family "tRNA". Rfam says of the family: Transfer RNA (tRNA) molecules are approximately 80 nucleotides in length. Lineage: Bacteria; Pseudomonadati; Pseudomonadota; Betaproteobacteria. The record is from Rfam by way of RNAcentral.